This 420-nucleotide ribosomal RNA is filed under the name uncultured bacterium. RNAcentral describes it as "bacterial SSU rRNA". It matches the Rfam family "Bacterial small subunit ribosomal RNA", at positions 113 to 512 of the family's 1533-position model. The record is from RNAcentral.
ACACGUGGGUGACCUGCCUUCGAGUGGGGGAUAACGUCCCGAAAGGGACGCUAAUACCGCAUGACAUCCUGCCUUUGAAGAGGUGGAGAUCAAAGCUGGGGAUCGCAAGACCCAGCGCUUGAAGAGGGGCCCGCGCCUGAUUAGCUAGUUGGUGGGGUAACGGCUCACCAAGGCGACGAUCAGUAGCCGGCCUGAGAGGGCGGACGGCCACACUGGGACUGAGACACGGCCCAGACUCCUACGGGAGGCAGCAGUGGGGAAUUGUUCGCAAUGGGCGCAAGCCUGACGACGCAACGCCGCGUGGAGGAUGAAGACCUUCGGGUCGUAAACUCCUUUCGAUCGAGACGAACGGCCUUCGGGUGAACAAUCCGGAGGAGUGACGGUACCGAGAGAAGAAGCCCCGGCUAACUCCGUGCCAGC